CCUACGGGUGGCAGCAGUGAGGAAUAUUGGUCAAUGGGCGAGAGCCUGAACCAGCCAAGUCGCGUGAGGGAGUACUGCCCUAUGGGUUGUAAACCUCUUUUGUCGGGGAGCAAAAGCCGGACGUGUCCGGCUGUUAGAGUACCCGAAGAAAAAGCAUCGGCAAACUCCGUGACAGCAGCGGCGGUACUACGGGGGAGGCGAGAGGUAUCGGGAUUUAUUGGGUUAAAGGGGUGCGUAGGCGGAUUUUUAAGUCAGCGGUCAAAUCGUGGGGCUCAACCCCAUGCAGCCGUUGAAACUGGGGAUCUAGAGUGUGCGAGAGGUAUGCGGAAUGCGUGGUGUAGCGGUGAAAUGCAUAGAUAUCACGCAGAACCCCGAUUGCGAAGGCAGCAUACCGGUGCACAACUGACGCUCAGGCACGAAAGCGUGGGUAGCAAACAGGAUUAGAUACCCGAGUAGUC
RNAcentral lists this ribosomal RNA (458 nucleotides) under uncultured bacterium. RNAcentral's name for it is "partial 16S ribosomal RNA". It matches the Rfam family "Bacterial small subunit ribosomal RNA", at positions 338 to 795 of the family's 1533-position model. The record is from RNAcentral.